RNAcentral lists this non-coding RNA (21 nucleotides) under Rattus norvegicus (Norway rat). The record is from RNAcentral. Lineage: Eukaryota; Metazoa; Chordata; Mammalia; Rodentia; Muridae.
AUCUCUUGAAUUUGUGGUAGU